This 260-nucleotide long non-coding RNA is filed under the name Homo sapiens (human). RNAcentral describes it as "non-protein coding lnc-ABHD4-12:10". The record is from RNAcentral. Lineage: Eukaryota; Metazoa; Chordata; Mammalia; Primates; Hominidae.
GUGGGGAAAUGAUUUUUCUUAUUUAUCAGGGGUCUUAUGACCAGCAAAAUGCAACAGAAGGUCGCUACUCAUUGAAUUUCCAGAAGGCAAGAAAAUCCGCCAACCUUGUCAUCUCCGCUUCACAACUGGGGGACUCAGCAAUGUACUUCUUUCCUAUCACAGUGGAACACCGGUAACCAGUUCUAUUUUGGGACAGGGACAAGUUUGACGGUCAUUCCAAUAUCCAGAACCCUGACCCUGCCGUGUACCAGCUGAGAGAC